RNAcentral lists this ribosomal RNA (253 nucleotides) under uncultured bacterium. RNAcentral describes it as "partial 16S ribosomal RNA". It matches the Rfam family "Bacterial small subunit ribosomal RNA", at positions 524 to 776 of the family's 1533-position model. The record is from RNAcentral.
UACGUAGGUGGCGAGCGUUGUCCGGAUUUACUGGGCGUAAAGAGCGCGCAGGCGGCUGGUCAAGUCCGAUGUGAAAGCUCCCGGCUUAACUGGGAAAUUGCAUCGGAAACUGAUCGGCUGGAAGGUGGGAGAGGGUAGCGGAAUUCCCGGUGUAGUGGUGAAAUGCGUAGAUAUCUGGAGGAACACCGGUGGCGAAGGCGGCAUCCUGGACCAUGACUGACGCUGAGGAGCGAAAGCCAGGGGAGCAAACGGG